RNAcentral lists this ribosomal RNA (491 nucleotides) under uncultured bacterium. Its description in RNAcentral is "bacterial SSU rRNA". It matches the Rfam family "Bacterial small subunit ribosomal RNA", at positions 28 to 513 of the family's 1533-position model. The record is from RNAcentral.
GAUGAACGCUAGCUACAGGCUUAACACAUGCAAGUCGAGGGGCAGCGCAGUGUAGCAAUACAUGGGCGGCGACCGGCGCACGGGUGCGUAACGCGUAUCCAACCUUCCCGAUACUCAGGGAUAGCCUUCCGAAAGGGAGAUUAAUACCUGAUGGUGUUUCAAUUCCGCAUGUUAAUGAAACUAAAGAUUUAUCGGUAUCGGAUGGGGAUGCGUGACAUUAGAUAGUAGGCGGGGUAACGGCCCACCUAGUCUACGAUGUCUAGGGGUUCUGAGAGGAAGGUCCCCCACACUGGAACUGAGACACGGUCCAGACUCCUACGGGAGGCAGCAGUGAGGAAUAUUGGUCAAUGGUCGGAAGACUGAACCAGCCAAGUAGCGUGAAGGAUGAAGGUUCUAUGGAUUGUAAACUUCUUUUAUAUAGGAAUAAACCUCCCACGUGUGGGAGCUUGUAUGUACUAUAUGAAUAAGCAUCGGCUAACUCCGUGCCAGCA